GACGAACGCUGGCGGCGUGCCUAAUACAUGCAAGUAGAACGCUGAAGAGAGGAGCUUGCUCUUCUUGGAUGAGUUGCGAACGGGUGAGUAACGCGUAGGUAACCUGCCUGGUAGCGGGGGAUAACUAUUGGAAACGAUAGCUAAUACCGCAUGAAAUGGAUUAUCGCAUGAUAAUUCAUUGAAAGGUGCAAAUGCAUCACUACCAGAUGGACCUGCGUUGUAUUAGCUAGUUGGUGGGGUAACGGCUCACCAAGGCGACGAUACAUAGCCGACCUGAGAGGGUGAUCGGCCACACUGGGACUGAGACACGGCCCAGACUCCUACGGGAGGCAGCAGUAGGGAAUCUUCGGCAAUGGACGGAAGUCUGACCGAGCAACGCCGCGUGAGUGAAGAAGGUUUUCGGAUCGUAAAGCUCUGUUGUAAGAGAAGAACGAGUGUGAGAGUGGAAAGUUCACACUGUGACGGUAUCUACCA
This 474-nucleotide ribosomal RNA is filed under the name Streptococcus sp. oral taxon 071. RNAcentral describes it as "bacterial SSU rRNA". It matches the Rfam family "Bacterial small subunit ribosomal RNA", at positions 28 to 485 of the family's 1533-position model. Lineage: Bacteria; Bacillati; Bacillota; Bacilli; Lactobacillales; Streptococcaceae. The record is from RNAcentral.